Molecule: small RNA, 122 nt
Filed under: Enterobacillus tribolii
Lineage: Bacteria; Pseudomonadati; Pseudomonadota; Gammaproteobacteria; Enterobacterales; Hafniaceae
Description: tp2
Rfam family: tp2
Source: Rfam by way of RNAcentral
GGUAUUCCUUAUCUGUCUAAUGGUUUGUUUAUCAAGAGCCGGUCUUGUGUGCAUUUUCACUGUGGUUCAGGAAAAUACACCAAGACAGGCCCAAUCACUUGGUUGCCUAGAUGUUGCACUAA